AUUGAACGCUGGCGGCAUGCCUUACACAUGCAAGUCGAACGGCAGCACGGGAGCAAUCCUGGUGGCGAGUGGCGAACGGGUGAGUAAAGUAUCGGAACGUGCCCAGUCGUGGGGGAUAACGUAGCGAAAGUUACGCUAAUACCGCAUACGAUCUAUGGAUGAAAGCGGGGGAUCGCAAGACCUCGCGCGAUUGGAGCGGCCGAUAUCAGAUUAGGUAGUUGGUGGGGUAAAGGCUCACCAAGCCGACGAUCUGUAGCUGGUCUGAGAGGACGACCAGCCGCACUGGGACUGAGACACGGCCCAGACUCCUACGGGAGGCAGCAGUGGGGAAUUUUGGACAAUGGGCGAAAGCCUGAUCCAGCCAUGCCGCGUGCAGGAUGAAGGCCUUCAGGUUGUAAACUGCUUUUGUACGGAACGAAAAGGUUUGGCCUAAUAAGCUGAGCUCAUGACGGUACCGUAAGAAUAAGCACCGGCUAACUACGUGCCAGCAGCCGCCGUAA
This 500-nucleotide ribosomal RNA is filed under the name uncultured bacterium. RNAcentral describes it as "partial 16S ribosomal RNA". It matches the Rfam family "Bacterial small subunit ribosomal RNA", at positions 30 to 523 of the family's 1533-position model. The record is from RNAcentral.